GAGUUUGCUAAUUUGCGUACGCCUAUUUUUCAGUUGGUACGUUUUAGCAAUGUGUACCAGCUUUUAGACAAAAAUAUCCUUAUAUCAUGAAUUUUAAGUUAUAAGGUUAAGGGUAUUUUAAUAAUUUUUAUUCUCAAAAUUAAAAAAAAUAAAAAAAGAAACCCCCAAACCUUUACACACCUUUCUCAUUCCUCCGAACCCUUUCUCUUUCAUCUCUUUCAUUCCAACCUUUUCUCUGUCAUUCCUACUCUAGCUCCAAUCG
Molecule: long non-coding RNA, 262 nt
Filed under: Vigna radiata
Lineage: Eukaryota; Viridiplantae; Streptophyta; Magnoliopsida; Fabales; Fabaceae
Description: long non-coding RNA (VRAD_LNC007539)
Source: RNAcentral